CAUAUGAUACUCUAGAUCCGGGUUUCUUGUGUUUCUGGUGAGGAGCAGCUCUGGCUACUUCCAGAUCAUGACCCUCCUGAUGGGUGCAAUGGGUAAGGGGGGAUGGGUACCGAUUGGGCAAAUGGCCUGGAGACUCAGACCAGGCUCUCUGGACAGAUGAGUCGAGCUGGUCCUCAAGAGCAAAAUGCCUAAAGGACACAUCUCUAUGACCAGUGAGGCCACACUUAAAGCCACACUGGACAUGCAGCAGUAUGCACCUGGUAACAAAAAGGGGAGCUCUAGCUUGGGGGAAAUGACUCUGCCAGGCAAGGCCUUCAAGACUUCUCUUCUGCAAGUCGUGAGGGAUUCACCAGUUAGUGGCGCAGGUGCAGCAGUGCUACAUCGAGGGUCCUACACUGUGUCUCCUGGGGCACACGCCCAGUGCUACUUCACAGCAGGCAGGUGUAUAGGUGAUGUGACAGUGAGGCUUCAGUGUCUGCUGAACACUACUCCUGGUGUACAGAACGCUGCAAGGAGACAGAGGAAAUGACAGACACAAGCCCUGUGCUAAGGACCAGGACAAAAUGACACACAGGCACAGUGCAGCUGAACUGUACAUGUUACUGCAAGCAACUCUACCGGACUGUCGAGUUCAAGAGCUUUGUGAGGUUAGGCUUAGGCUUAAAAUGAAAAGCUAAUUUUGAAGACACAUGAUUUAUAAAGAGGACAUAGACUAUCUGAGGUCAUAAAAAUGGCUCAUUUAUUUUGAAAAGAUGUUUAUUGAACAUUUGCCGUGGGCCACGCACUGUUCGUAGAGAACAGAACGAAUAUAUCUGCUUUCCUGGAAUUGAUAGUCUAGCAGACAAGUCAGAAGUUAAGUGAACAAUAGUAUUCUCACUAAUUGAAUAAAGACAAGAACAGGGCAUUGUGAACGAGAAGAACAGGAGGACCCUAACAAAAACUGUGAAAUCAGGGGCGGCCUCUCAGAGGAGGUGAUGGCUGUGCCCUUAAUGAGGCGUAGGGAUUAGCUAGAACAGGGAAGGCAGGAGAAGCAUUUCAAAUGGAGAGCAGCAUAUGGAAAAGUUCUGAGUUGGGAUAAAGUUGGUUCCUUUGAAAAGCUGGAAGAAGGCUGGCAUGGCUUAAGAAUAGAAAUUCAGAGAGUGGGAAGAGAUUUUUGAAUUGUAUCCUAAUUGUGAUAGAAAGUUAAGCAGGGAAGUGAUAGCAUCUAUGUUUUUAAUAUAUCACUCUGGCUGCUGUGGGGGAACCAGACUGGAGGGAGGGCGAGAAUGGAGGUGGCAAGUAUAGUGAGAAAGCUUCUGCAGGGGCAGGUGACAAGUGAUGGUGACAUGUCCUAAGACGGUGGCAGGGGACACAGAGCAUGGUGGCUGGAUUACAGGUAUAUCUUAGAGAUAGGAUUAGUAGGAUUUGACGAUGGACUGGAUGUGCGGGGAAGUAUCUAGAGUGACACACAGAUGUUUUACCUUGAGCAACUCAGGGAGUAGAGGCGUUAUUUACUAAGUCGGGGAGGAAUGGCAGAGGUGCAGAUUUCGGGUAGGAGUUGUAACAGAGAUCAAGAGUUCAGGUUUGGCUACCUCAAGCUGGGGAUGUCUUUCAGGUGGCUACGUGGAAACUGUGCAGAGACACACACACCCCUAGACCGGACUUGGCCGUGUAUCACAGACCGGAGUUGGCCGUGUAUCACUUCCUGCCACUGGCAUGGAAGAAAUUAUGCAGGAGAAGUACAGAAUGAGAAGGAAAAUGUCCUGAUGAACUAUAUUUUGAGGUUGGCUGAGAAAAGCCAGGGGCCCUUCCUCCCUGAAGGAUGAAGACUUGCAGCAGGCUGUUCAAGGCUGCAGGAGCAGGAUUUGCCAGGGCCAAAUGAGAAAAAAAAAACAGGUGCCGCAAAGUAUUCACCAGCCUGGAUUCUACAAAAUCACCUGAGAAUUGCCAAGUUACUGAGUUCGAGUUCAAACUAUCUUCCAGAAAGAGAACACAGUGUGCAGAAGCAUAUUGGAAAUCGGUCCUCACAUUUCUUCCCUAGGAAUGAGCUUUCUCCAGCAUUGAGCUUUUAUGCUUAAAGAGAAAAGUGCAAAGUCUUUGGGAGGAAAAAAGAAACAAAACGACCUGUCAAAAUUUCUUUUAGCGCCUAUGACUAGUGUUAACUUACAUGCUCUCAGAGUGCAAUAAAAAGCCUCCAAACUGCUGCUAAAAAGAUGAUUUGACCUUUUAAAAUGGGAACUCCCCCACCCCAUGCCCAUAUUAAACAGAUGAACCUUGGGAGCUCUAGAGUUUUAGAUUAAUAAAUGAAAUGAGGUUGAAUUCCAGAAAAAGGGUUUCCCUACAGGCUGUGGGAUAAUUAGGGUGUUCUAGACCUACAUUGUAACAGCAGGUAGAAUGCAGGCCCCAAACCUUUUAGCCAUUUUAGUUGCCAACUACUCAGAGUCUGGUUCUGAAAGGAGGCGGGCAGGGAGUUAUGAAAAUUUAGCAAAUGAAACAGUCCCAGACGCGACUGCCCACCGCAGCCUGCGGUUCGGGGACAGGCUGUCGGCCCCUGACGGCCAAGGAACCGCGGCGAUCCUGGGUCUCCGCCGCAGCCGCGAAACCAGGCGCGCACCAACGGCGCUGCUGAAAGAAGUUGGAGAGCUCCCAGGUCGCCAACAAGAUUCGGCGGUGGGCGCCGGGGAAUCCCUUCCAGCGCCGCAAUUAGGAAACUUUUGAAAAGUAAAGACCCCAGACAAAAGACCCAUCCCUUCCUUGAGCAUAAGAAACACCCCGCGCCACGCCAGCUGGAGACUGCUCGCACAAGGCCAUCCGCCCUGCUUGGCCGGGACGCGCCCGGUGCCUUCCAGCUCCUAGCAGAACUGGUCCAAGGGGGCGCGGAGCCAGAGAGGCAGGUCUGCCGGGGUUGCGGCUCCAGACAGAAAUGCCUCCGGCCUCCCUGGCCUGGGGGACAAGGGCUUGGAUUCAACAGUCGAGGGGGCAAGGGCUGAACCACCAACUCCAGCUCAGACGCCCGGGACCUACUCUUCCAAGCCCGCUCCAGUUUCUCCAAAGGACGCGCGGCACAGCCCAUGCGCCCCCGGCACUCCACUCCACUCCUCUACGGUUCCCCCCAAACUCUUC
Microcebus murinus (gray mouse lemur) is the source of this 3102-nucleotide non-coding RNA. The record is from RefSeq and is a predicted model, not a curated record. Lineage: Eukaryota; Metazoa; Chordata; Mammalia; Primates; Cheirogaleidae.